CGCUCCGGCACGUGGGCGCGGCGUGCACCCGGCGCAGCUGCGCGCCUCGUGGACGCUCUGUCCCCUUCCCCCUCUCCGCCCCGUGGCCUGUUUUCGUUCUGCUGGCCGGGGUUCCCCCCCCCCCCUCAGGUCUGGGAGCGCGGCGCGCUUCCAGCGCGCCAGAGGAAAUAGGUCGGCAGGUGGCUGAGCGAUCCGGUCGGGCGGGGCUGGGACGCUGGUGCACGCAGCGGAGGGGGAAGGGCAUACGGGGACACGUUAAAAGAAAGUCAGAACGCGGGAGGUUGCUAAAGAGCACGCAGUGUUUUUAUCUUUGGGGAGUACAUAGUUCUAAGUGCCCGACGCUGCUUUUCCCCGCUCUCAGCAUCGUGGACGUGAUGUUCUGUGCAACCUCAGUAAACAGCCGGCACAGGUGCUGCGCGAUGACGCCUUACUGAGGGCCACAGUGGUCCCGGGACACAGCAGCCACCUCCUGGGUGCAAGCUGUCUCAGCCCCUGGUUUGGGGCCCAGGCUCUGACCCCAAGCUGGGGGCACGCUCCCCUCCCCACUGGUCCGGGCCCCAUGGCCAGAAUGAAUUGGGACCUUGGCUGUAACGGACUCUUCCUCAGGAGGGCUUGGAGUUAACUUGCAGAGUGACUCAGCUGGUGAAGGGUCAGGAAACCAAGUCCUAGGAGAGGUGCUUGAAGAACUGGGGAUGUUUAGCUCAGACCAGACGGGCCCUGAGGGCCUGUGAGCCUGUCUGCAAGUAUUUGAAAGACUCAUGUGAUCAGAUUUGACUGGUCUCGUGCUGCCCUAGGGGACAGAACAGAGCUGUUUACAGGAGGUGAAUUUCAGGUCAAUUACAGAGACAGGGCAGGAACGAAUGUUGGGUUCUCCCCGGGAACCAGGUACAGCUAGGUGUUUGCAUGUAUCAGUAAGAAAAUAGCAGAGCCACGAUUGGAAUUUCGAUCUGCUAGGACUGCAAAGCUGCUCUCUGCCUUUCGUGAUGCAUUUGUUUAAUGGAAUGGGUUACUUUGGGCGUAGUGCCAAAGAGUUUCUGCAUCGCUGGAACCCAGUGGACUGGAGGAUUCGUUCAGCUGUGUUUAGCCGUGUCACUGAUUCUCUACUUGGGUUGAAGAGGGAGGUUGCCCCGGGCCAGACGAGGAUGCCAGAGGGAGGAGGCCACCUAUCUCCCAGCAAGUGAAAAUUUCCAGCAGGGUACAUCUCUUACCCAUUGUGCCUGUGAGUGCUCUCCGCCUGGUUAAAGCAAUAAUCUUGACUUCGAGUUUAACAAAUGUGAUCACAGUAUCCACCUGUCAUCCAACGUCCUUACUGCCUCCUAGCCCUUCCUUUUUUCAAAUCUGAUACCCCUUUCCCUUAUGCAGCCCUUCUGCCUAGGCCAGACUAAAAGUGGGACCAGGGCAGUAAGCACCAAGGAGUAGAUGAGUAGAUGCGCGAGUAACCUGGGCUCAUUUCGGCCCUCUAGGCAGUGCCAGGUAUGGUGUCUGGAAAGGUCAGGAGGGAAGGACCUGGGCUGCUCGGAUUCGAGCUGUGGCCCUCGGGGUCUGAUACUGCUGACCUCGAGCCUGUAGGGCAGAUGCAUGCAGGAGGGAACUUUCUCUGAAGUUCGGGAGUCAUUUUGUGAAUUAAUAGUUUCACAAGAGGUCUUUAGGAAUCUCCUUUUGUCUCGUGUGUGCAGGUAUUGAAUUGUCCAAAACAAACCCAUAAUAGCAUCCCUGGAAGGAAGGUAGGAGUAUGGAAUGGGUAUAAAGAGGCAAUAUCUGGUUUUUCUUGGCUCUCCAGCAGACCAGGUUACAGUUUCUUAUCAAAACCCAGCCAGAAAAUACCAAACUGAGCCUUCUUCUCCUGGAGGAAUUGGCUGGAAGCAGAGUGGUCUCCUCUCUGCCCUGGACAUAAUUUUCAGAGAUCUAGAAGGUGUGUACCUUCCUUUCAGUAAGUCUCUGGUUAUUCCUUCCUAAUCUCCUGGGUCUUAACGUGUGUCCUCUGCUUCCGGGGUAUUAAGGUCGAGGAGAUCUCCCAGGUAGCCAGUCCAGCCCAGCUAAGCAGUGCCUACAUAUAAGAUUAAGAUCGAAGCAGUGAUGCAGAGAAGGUGAAAUAUUUGUGUCUGUCUGCCUGCAAGUACUCUCCUGCGUUCUCUCUCCUCUCUCAGAUCCUUCCUUAACGAUGAUUCUUUAAGGGAUCGUAGCUCAGUUUUCGUUUCAACUGAUCUCAAAGAUCUUUAACUCAAGGGAUGGCAUCCUAAUGGUGGGCUUUAAGGCUUAAACUUAGGGAGAGGGUAGGAGCAAAAGUUCAGAUGCAUUGUUCUUUCCCUGGCCUUUCGCUGUCCCCACCCCCACAUUGCCCCCCCCCCCCCCAGCACAGCUCCCUGGUCACCACCACCCUGACCCCGCCAUCUUUGUAUUCAUGAAUAAGGGGCAGACAUGGAACCCCUCAGGCUCUUGCUGCAGCAGGGAGGGAUAGCAAGAAUGAGAAGUUGUCUCUGGGCUCUGCACGUCAGACUUCCUGGGCUCAGACGCCAGCCAGGUAGGAGCUGUGUGACCUUGGAGAAGUUCCUUCACCUCUCUGUGCCUCAGUGUCCUCACCUGUCAACGGCGCGGGGUGGUUGUGAGGAUUAGGCCCCAACCAUGCCUAAUGCUGGCAUAUGCUUGGUGCUCCAGGCGCCGCGGCUGUGUGUUCUUGACCGGAAGGAGUCCUCAGUCUCGCAGUGACCGCUCCGUGGUUGCUGUCAGCACCGCUUCCGUGUGAGCUUAAAAGGGCUGGAGGACUCCAGGAUGGGUGGUCGGCACAGCAGGUGCCCCUGCCCCAUGUGCUAACUGGUCCUCAAACCAGGCAGUCUGCAUGGCCUUGACUCCCACCCAGGACAGCCCUUCCCAAAGUGGUCCUUAGCGGGACACCUCUCCUUCCUGCCCCCACAUUUCUCUACUAGGCUGGUCGCCCUCUCAUACUCUUGCCACGAGGUAGCUGGUUGGGUGGCCACGUGCCUGGGGAGCAGAACUUUUUCCAUUCUUUCUCAUUCUUCUACCCGUGGGAUUGUGAUGGGGUCUCUGGUGGCGACGAGCAGAGCUGGAUCUCAAUUUUAGAGAAUGGAGGAAGAAGGCGGCUCCAAGGUGGGCGGAGUCAGUGCGGUUGGUUAGAAGGGGUAGGAGGCGGGGCGUCAGCAGACCCUGAGCAGAACCGUCUUCCGUCUUCCCCUGCGGCUUUUGAUGUUGUCGCUCUUGGGCCUUCGUAUCUGUGCCUUAGGCUGCCUUGGAGGUGAACUUGCCCCUGCCGUCUGCUGGCGUGGGGACGCCCGAGGGGCCGGGAGAAACGGGAUAGUUUGCUGUAGUCCAGACAAAAGCUUGCUAGUGUGCAGAGCCUUUGAAAAUACUCGGGAACAAUUUGGUACCCUCUGCGUGUUACGCCGCGGGGUGAUAUCUCAGCCGCUGAGCUCUUGCGUACGAAAUUGGCCACAAGGCUGAGGGAGGUUCAGGGGAGGGUUGGUUAUCGUUAUUUAAUGGAUGUGAAGUUCCUCAAGCCCCUCCCAGCGCCUUGGGGAAAGGACGUUGAGCUGUCGAUCUUGCUCCCCGGAAAGACUUCCUAGUCUCUAUUUGUAGGAACCUUAAAUUAGUCACAUUUGGGGAAUUUUCUUUUUUGCGUUGAUUUUCCUGGACUUGUGUUGUGGUGGUUUUGAAGGGUGGGGUUGGGGGUUGUGUGCCCUGGGGGGCCCAUCCUCUGGUUCUCUAAUGAGGAGGCCAUGGUUUUGGUUUCAAGCAGACGAGUCACAGUUACCAGAGCUCCAGAAAUGGAUGCUUAUCCCAGGACUGUGGUGGUGGCAUGCCUAGAAGCAAUUUAAAAACCACUGUAGCUCUUGACUAUCACCUUAUCUUGAGCGACUUCUUGGUCGUUUGGUGAUCUAGAAAUGAGAAAGAACACUAAGUAUUUUAACAUAAAAAGAGAAUCCCCAGAAUCUCCCAGAUUCUGCCCUGCUCCCCUCGGCCCCUCCUUUAUGUUUUUUUCUUAGUCUUCCCGCAAGUGAAGUGCAGGAGAUCUCCAUUUAAAUGGGACUAGAAACUCACAGCCACAAAAACUCCUGGGACUGUUGAUGAUGCCACAUGGGAAGAUUAGAACAAAAGUGGGGUGUGGGGGGCAUCGCGAGAUAGAAGGAGCGUAAGGAGGUGGUGGCCUUGAAGCUGGGUGGGUGCGGGGACAGAGGAGUAAGAACUUUCUGAAAAGAGGUUACUGGUACCAGUUCCAUUAAUCCAGGAGUCGGGACAGACAGGGCAUACCCCAUGUCCUUCUGUGGCCCCCAAAAGAGUACUUUUACAGCUCCCUUUUCUGUUUAUUUUAGCCCAUCCUUUUACACAUAGAAUUUUGGCUUCAGUUUUGUGAUCUAUACAGUAUAACAGCACAGCAGCACGUGUAUAUAACUUACAACUAAAAACUGCCUUUUUGAGAGCUAAUAGUUUGUGGUCAAAGAAAACCGGGCGGGGAAACAGCCUGUGCUUCUCAAAUGUGGACGCGCAGGAUGGUUGACGAUGUUGCUAACAUGCACACUUGGAUUCCCUGGUUCUGGGCUGGAGCCCUGCAUUCUGCGGUUGGAACUGACCCAGGAGGCAUGAGAUCGAUGUUUUUCUUUCCUCUUUUUGCCGCAGUUUCGCACUUGGCGUCUUAGACGCGCAGGGAAACCCGGCGGCCCCCAGGGGGUCGGGGGCAGAUGCUCUGGCUUUUCCUUUCCUGGAACGCCAGGGCCUUGCUCUUGACGCUGCGAGGAAGUCCCGUGCACCGCGGAGCAACUUGCCCGCAUCCGUUCCCAUAAGGGACGUGUCAUUGUCACCUGUCACGUGGUGUCAGUUUGCUUCUUCCAGACACCACCUGGAUCCCACUUCACAGAAAGGGAAGGUGCUGGGUGCAGCAGAGAAAAGCUGAUGUCUGUGAAGUGUGGAGAACAGGUGCGCUCACCACACAGGCAGCUGUUGCCUCUCGCUGUUCCGUACCUGGCGGACGUCAGUGCCUUCCUUGGCUUUCCUUGCCCUCAUUCGUGGCACUGGUGACACGGGUAAUACGGCACCUGCUGCUUCUGAUGUUAGCCAACAUCUGCCGAGCGCAUUUCAACACUGCUGCUUUAACGUGGCCGUUCUGCGGGGCCACUCUUCUGUCACCAACUUGCAGGUGAGGAAACGGCCCUGAGUGGCCGAGUCACGUAUCUGAGAUCACAGGGCUUGUAAGUAGUAAGACAGGGCAUACUCCUCCGACUGCGUGCCCAGUGUUCUCUCUGCUUGAACCAAAUCUGCCCAUGUCCUGGGAGCCAGUGAGAGUCCAGAGGCCUGGGUGUUUGAGGACCUAAGUUCUCAUUCGCGCAUUCAUCGCGCAAGGCCAUGUACCUGGUACUCAGCGUUCAGGAUUCGGAGAUGAACAAAGCAGUCGGUGGCCUGAAGGAGGGGGAUGGAGAAGCAAAGAUGCAUUUACCAGACUGCUGAGUGCCAUACCGGGGUCGGGUCACUGCGCGUGGGAGGGUCUGCUGGCCCACGGAAGGGGCGGCAGGGAAGGUUGACUGGCCGAAGGGUCUCUGAGGGGUGACCAAGAGUAGCAAGAGAAAGACGGGGAGGAAGCUGCCAGCAGGGAAAUCAGUAAGCCGACAGCAGGAAGUUUUCCUAGAUCCGACCCAAAUAGAGAUGAUGGUAAUUGAUACGUUUGAGACUCAAUAAAGAUAAUCCUCGUGACGUGCUCAUUAGUUGCCAUGUCUUCUUGCCAGACCAGCUGGUGUCAUCACGGUCAAGUGUCCCUCUUGAACCCCACAAAAAUUGUUUCUUUUGAAAUUGACUUUGCUUACUCCCUUUUCGGUUGAUCAGCGUUUGUGUGGUGGGUCUUACUGUUAACUGGCUACAUCUUUAUGUUUCAAGUGGAUUUCUUAGAGUUGGGCUUGCCUUUUCUUUUCACCCAACGUGAUUGUGGCUUUGCAUUAGCGUUUAGACCAUUUACCCUCUGAGCCAAGAGCCAAAAGGAAGCAGAUGGGAGGUGAGAAGGGUGGUUCUCCCAGCCUGUUCUGAGCCAGAGGCUGGAUGUGGGUUUGGCCUGCUUGCUCUAAAGGUUUCCCCAGUGGGAGACCCCAGAGUCAGCGGCCUUCUGGGUGUGAGAGCUCAGGUUUGGGGGCGCUAGUUUGAGAAAGGAGGGGCCGGUAGACGCAGCCAGUUUAGAAACCACGCUCCCUGCCCUCAUGCCCACAUCCUGCCUUGGAAAGCAUGCAGCUUUUCCCCUCGAAUCCCCUUCUGGUCUGAGAAAGCUCAAUGGCUUCAUGAUGACAUCUUACGAUGGCGAAGAGCUGAUCGGUUUGCAAAAGGGGGUUACUUAUGUAGGGCACACGAGCUCCGGGUAAAUCUGACGGUGCUCUGGGCUGUGGCGCGCAGCCCAGACACGGCCCGGGGAGAGUCCCUUUGAAAACAGGUUUUCUGACUCCUUACCUCAAGCCUACAAUGUGACAGCCAGGGUAAUGUGACACGUCCUGGAGCAAAAGGGAUUGGCCCUGGGUGUGGGAAAGGACCUCCGCCUCCGUGUCUACACCAUGCAAAGGAAAGGUCAUCCUCCAGGUAAACAUCCAGGCGCCCCGUGGAUGCACCCUGUCAGGGCUCAGUCAUCUUGCAGUCCAGACACUAAGUUCUCAGGUCUCUAGAGAGACCCAGUGGGCAGUGGGCAUGGGCUUCUUCUGGGUUAGGAGGGAGCCACAAGAGGUGUGAUUUCCAGCACCUUAAGUUGGAGGUCAUGAGCGGGGGUCUGCGGACCAGGGACACUGGGAGGGUGAUGGGUCCCCUCGCUAGGGGUGGUUUUCCAAGGGCACGGUCGGAGUCUUCAGGGUCACCCUGGUGGACGUGGGGAAAAGGAUAGACAUGUCCAUCGAGGCCCUGAGGACUGGAGCGAUGUGCAGGUUGGCCCGAGGCCAGACAACUCGACAGAGAAGGGGGAGCAGAAGUAGGGCCUGCACCUCUGCCUGGCACGCGGGGGCCCCUGUGCCCUGUCCCUCCUGACACAGGGCCUCUCCCACGAUCCUGUGUCUUCGCCUGGUAAGCCUCGUUUGGGCUGUUAUCCAUCGGCCAUCACGUGCCACCGCCGUUCGGGUCUUCCCAGAGCCCCUCACUCACGGCCUGGAUGCUCCCGGGUUCCCCCCGCCCCCGGACGCCCCCUUCUCUCUCGCCCCCGAUCCCCCACCGCAACCCUCCCCUCGCCCGCUUCAGAGCUCACGAACCCCUCCCCUGCCUCGUGGCAGGAUCGAGCCUUGUCUGGGCCCGUCCACCCGGCCCUGCCGCACCUGAGAACAGAAGCCGUGCCAUCGCUGUCCUCGCUUGGGUCCGCGUCCCCGCGGGCCGGUGGCCCUGGAGAGGCAGAGGUGGCGGUCUUGCUGUGCUCGGGGGCCGGGCCGGGUGGACGGAGAGCUCGCUGAGAAGGCCGCCGGUGUUGCUGGUUGUGUGUGUUUUUCUACGCGAACUGCAGAUGGCUGGACACGGGGAAGGGUGUUCAAGCUUGCGGGUGAGAACACACACGGCAGAUGCGUGUGCGCCCCAGGAGCCAACAAGACGCCAGCGUUUGCCGCAGCGCGGAGAUGGCAGCUGGCGGCCGCGGCCGGGAGGGAUGCUAAGGGAUGCGCGGGACGGGUAGGAAUUAGGAGGAGAAGGGGUUUCUGGAGGAAUGCUCGAGAACGGCAGAAACGUACGGGAGGAGGGAUUUUGCGGGAAGAAGCAGGUCAGGUGAACAGAGCAGAGUGGAGGUAGGGGUGAGGGGAGAGAGGUUCUCAGGAACUCCUCCCCACUCCCGGGGUGGUGGGGAGCCCUGGAGGAAGCCAGGAGCCCGUGUUGGUUUCUGAGCGGGGGAAGCACAGACGAAGCACUGUUGCAGGAACCCAGGGUGUCCCAGGUGUGGGCGCUGGCGAGGGGUGGGAAGGGCGCGGCCUGUGGUCUGGGCGAGGCUCUGUGGUUUCAUCCGGGUGGAGAAGGCAGCGGCACAAACGCUGAUGACCAGUGGGAGCACCACACGGAAGAUGGGAUCGGGGGCUUCUUGGCCGUGGUGACUGGCAGUGCUUGAACCCGUAGGUCGAACGAAAGGAGGAAUCGGUGGACCAGACUCCGUGGGGCAGCGGCUGUCCAUGAAUACUUGUGGCGUGUAGGAAGAAAUCAGAGCUGUCGAUUUUGUUUCGUGUGUCCUCUUGAACUCGGAGAAAAACGGAAGAACCCCGAGAUGAACAUGGAAUUGCCAGUUAACGUGUCCCCAUCAGGUGCAGACUUUUCUCACUGUCGCAGACGGACCUACCCAUGGCCGGCUCUCACCUACCACCUCUCUCUUAGCUCCCUGCUUUUAUUCUACUACAUGUAUAUUCCCUGCUCUGGUCUUAAGUUACAAGCUCUUGGGCGUGGGAGCUUUUUCUCUUGCAAUACUCAUUGUGACGCUGGGCACAGAACACCAUGAUGACAGCUAUGUGCCCACCCACUCCUCUUGCCUGGCUGGACCCCAGAUCAUUGAGAUCCCAGUGCAGCCUGCUCUUGGAGCAUCUGACACACUGUCACCGCUGUGAGUGUCUAAUAAAUGCUGGGCACCCCAAGACGGGCAGCGACCUUC
Long non-coding RNA from Herpailurus yagouaroundi (jaguarundi), 8578 nucleotides. RefSeq lists it as uncharacterized. The transcript has 2 exons. NCBI's taxonomy places the organism in Eukaryota, Metazoa, Chordata, Mammalia, Carnivora, Felidae. The record is from RefSeq and is a predicted model, not a curated record.